Molecule: ribosomal RNA, 253 nt
Filed under: uncultured bacterium
Lineage: Bacteria
Description: partial 16S ribosomal RNA
Rfam family: Bacterial small subunit ribosomal RNA
Source: RNAcentral
UACGUAGGGGGCAAGCGUUGUCCGGAUUUAUUGGGCGUAAAGAGCGUGUAGGCGGUCAGGUAGGUCGGGUGUGAAAACUGGAGGCUCAACCUUCAGAGGUCGACCGAAACCAUCUGGCUAGAGUCCGGGAGAGGAGAGUGGAAUUCCUGGUGUAGCGGUGAAAUGCGCAGAUAUCAGGAAGAACACCCGUGGCGAAAGCGGCUCUCUGGAACGGUACUGACGCUGAGACGCGAAAGCGUGGGGAGCGAACAGG